RNAcentral lists this microRNA precursor (81 nucleotides) under Sorghum bicolor (sorghum). Its description in RNAcentral is "MIR5387 microRNA precursor family". It matches the Rfam family "MIR5387 microRNA precursor family". The record is from Rfam by way of RNAcentral. Lineage: Eukaryota; Viridiplantae; Streptophyta; Magnoliopsida; Poales; Poaceae.
UCAUAACACGAACUGGUGCUAAAGGGUCCUGCCCAACGGCUGUCGGGGCCGGGACCCUUUAGCACCGGUUCGUGUUACCAA